AUGUUCGCAAAUAAACAAAGAUAAAUAAAUUUAAACAUUGAAACAAAGAUAGAAAACACCUAGAAACGCUCUGACAAUCCAACGUCUUGAAUGGCAUACACGGCUCCAAGUUGUCUUCCUUCUUCUCCUUGCAAACUCACGGCACAAUGAGAGAUGAUUGGUGAAUGGUGUAGUGAAAAUCUGGUAGAGGGUGGUUAGUGAAAGGGUGCGGCAAUAGGUUGUAUAUAUAGGCUGAAAAUCCCAUCUCCUAGGUAGCAAAGGACAAGGUUUUAAAGGCCUAAAUUGCAUAGGAUAAUAACAUCCAAUCCUAUAAGGAAAACAAGUUAAAAACCCAAAGGGAUUGGGAGAUAAUGUGCAGCACAAAGAGUGUGAAAAGAUAAGGCUUCUAGAAACCAAAAAUCCCAAGGGAAAUAGGUAUUAGGUGCGGCAAGGAUCUAGGGUUCUAGAAGAUAAUGCAAGGCAGAUUUUUAGGCUUCUAGAAAGGUUCCUAGGUGUCAUCUUUGUAGGAUAAGAUAAGGUCUUCUAGAAAUCCCAAUUUAAGCAUCCUAAUCUAAUUAGAAACCCUCCUAAAUGGCUGGAAUGUGGAUAGUUUAGGAUUAGGAUAAGAUAGGAUAAGAUAAGGUUCAUUUGGAUAAGAUAAGCUAAGAUAAGGUUAUGGAUGAGGUUUUGGAUAAGAUACCUUAUCUUGAGCUGAUUCAUUGGCUUUAAUUCUUCUUCUUUAUGUAGGAAACCUUGCUUGAGUAGGAAACUUCAUUCAUCUAGGAAUCCAUCUUCAAUUAGGACUCCUACAUUGAUUAGGAAUCCUUAUUCGAUUAGGAAUUCUUCGUUUAAGCCCUUUCCUUCUUCAACUAAGAAACUUUGUAUCUUCAAUUCUUCAACUUUGAAACGCCUUCCUAGCUUCAUCAAUUCCUCAAAUUCGUCCAUCCCUUGUGCUUCAUGUGCAUGAACUUCAUUCUAGCCCAAUUUUGCUCCAAAAUGCUCCAAAUUGCAUCCUUUUGCUCACUUUGUCUCUAAAACCUGAAAACACAUGAAAAUAGCUUAAAAGACUAACUUAACUAAGAAAACAUAACAUAAAUGCAUAAGAACUAGCUAACUAAGGCGCAUAAAUAUGCUCCUAUCAUAGCUCAUCGACUUUAGCUUGAAGAGCAACCAUUUUUCCUUCUUUAUUUCGUUGCUUCGCACUGGUGCAAUAGAUGUGUCAUUCUAUGUGUUGUGGCUUCCUUCGCUCCCUAUGUUGGAGAGGGAUGCUUGGUCAAAAGAGAGUGUAUGAAUUGUGGAAACCAGCUUAACAAAGCUGAAGAGAGUGGGAAUAAGUUUCGUUCCCACAAACGGCGCCAAAUGUUGAUGCACAAAAUCAGUGAGGACUUUGGUACAACAGAAAAUGUUAAGUUUGUGACCUUCGCUAGAUUGCUCUGGUCACUAGAGUGGAUAAGUAUGUAAAUAGAUAGGGAUAAGGAAGCAAACACAAGAUGUACGUGGUUCACCCAGAUUGGCUACGUCCACGGAGUAGAGGAGUUUUCAUUAAUUGUGAAGGGUUUACACAAGUACAUAGGUUCAAGCUCUCCUUUAGUGAGUACUAGUGAAUGAUUUAGUACAAAUAACAUUAGGAAAUAUUGUGAGAGAAUGAUCUCUAUUUAUGGAAGAGAAUUUCUAGUUUCAUUUUGAUAUUGACACGUGUCUUGCUGUGAUUGGCCUCUGAUGUCGACACGUGUCGCGUUAUGAUUGACCUGUGAUCUUGACAUGUGUCGCAUUGUGAUUGGCCUCCUGGUUGGAGGGAGACUCUUGUGGGUCCUUGGCGGUAUACUAUUGACCAGUGCUUAGUAGUUUCGGGUUUGGUCAAUUAUGGUACAAACAGUUUAAAAUAAUUUACUAUUUUAGUAGUUAUUUUUAGGAUUUCUAAAUGUAUAAAUAUGCGAGAUGUUCAAUCAAAUGGGCAGAUUCUUGCAAGCAAAUGUAUUCGACUCCUAAACUACUUUGUUUCUUUUAUGUUAGUUAAAUAGAAAAGAAAAGUAAUUUCUUCACAAAUGCAUUGAGUUCUAUAAUUUCUUGAUGAACAGUUCUAUGAGAAACCUUUAAUCAAGCAUCUUCAAAAUUUGCAAAAUGGAAGCAAUAAUUUUGGAAGCGGGUAAAGCCAUAAAACAAAAAUAGAAAAACUGUAUGAGAAAAAUGGUUUUUGUGGGCAUAUUUGUACAAAUAUAUAGAUAUUUAUAGAGUUUUUUUGGGUGAAAUUUGAGUUAAAUAAUUUUUUUUAAUUGUAUUAGCCAUUAGAUUUAAAUUUAGGUGACACACACCAACCCGGAAUGUCCAUUAGGACUCCAAAUCGAGUUGUGUUGGCCGACACCUGGAAGGUGACGAAGCCAUAGUGUAUAGUGAUGUGGAAAAUGUGAAUAAAUUUAAACCUAAAAGUGCCUAAAGACAAGAGUGCGCUGUGAGCGGGAACGAACCCAUUUCACACGCGACGUCAGAGCAUAAGUAAAGUAGAGGAGUGUGGAUAAGGAUCAUACUCUUGGAGGUAGCCCCCUAUACUGAGAUUCACCAUGAAUCCUCGUGGAUACGAACUUUCAGUCGCUAAAACCUGGAAGGGCUAAAAAAUAAGAAUGAGUAGGCUUCAAAAUAAAGUUUUUAAUAAAAACCUUUUGAAAACGUUAUAACCCCUCACCGUAAAACCCGUAUAAUUUUCCAAAAAAUAAUAAUACAUACGUAUACAGAAAUCAUGCUCGAGAGUAGUGAAAACCGAGUUUAUGCCAUGUCAAGUAUCUUAGCAAUAAAAUAAGUAAGUCAGGUGAGAUAAAUUAAUGUAAAAUGAUAUGCCAGCCGGAGUCACCUGACGUGACUUGUACGGCUAAACCUAUAGCUCAUCAACCAAUUCCUGCACACGAGUCGGAACCACCUAAUGUGGUUUGUACGACAGGGCUGGGUGUAAAAUAAGUACGCUCAAGUGCUACGAUCACGUGAUGGCUGCGAAUAAUCGCGGGUCACCUACAAGUUGGAACCACCUAAUGUGAUCUGUACCACAGGGUUGUGCACCAAACUUGGAUCCAAGGUGAGCGUGCAGUGCGGGAGAUGAACAUCACGUGAAGGACUGUGCCCCGGCCACGGGUGGGAGCACUAACACUGGGGUGCAGGAUAAUGAGCUCUACAUGCCUCUACGUAUAACCAUGACCAAUGCAACUAUGAACAUCAUGCAGUACUCACCUGAACAUACCUGGCCUCUGUAGCGUCAUACAAUAGUAUGCAUAUACAUACCAAUGCAUAUACUAAAAUGAAAUGCAAGCAUGACAUGACAUUUAAAAACGUAAAUCCAUUUAAAACAAUUUCUAGGAAAAUAGAAAACAUAUAUACGUAUAUAUAGAAAACCAAAAGCCCACUCACCUGGAGUUUGUGUUACAACUCCCUAGCACAAACAUCAAGGUGUCACGAACGAUUUGCGCCUAGAACAAUUAUCAAAUCAUGUUUUAGAAUUCUUAUCAAUAGAAUACGUAACUUACAUAUCAUAUUUGGAAAGAUUCAUAUGUCGUAUUCCCAAUCAAUAAGUUUCUAAUAUCCUUAAAUAUUACGUAUUAUAACGUAUCAAAGUUUGCUGAAGAUCCAACGGUUGGAUCGUCGAUUGUUAUAGUAAUGAAGUUACGAACCUUAAUGGAACUACUUUCAAAUGAUAAAAAUUCGUCAAUCGGACUUCAACAAUGGAAUCAAGGUAUUCAAAUUUAAUCUAAGAAGGUCAAGGGACGUCUCGGCCCAUGCGCUGCCGCAGGUGGCAGUCGGCCGCACCGACUCGCCGGAAAAUUCGACUAUUUCUAAAAAUUCUCAAAUUUUAUAGGAAUGAAGAUCUAAAUGAGUGGAACAACUUUCAUACCUGUGACUAAGGCCAAUUUUACCGAAAAAAAAGCCUUAAUUUCAUGAAAACCUGUCGGAAACCCUUAAAAUUGGGUAGUUGUUGAUUCGCCACCAAAACGAACUUUGAUGCCUCCAUUAAAGCUUGGGCCUUGCUCCUAGGGUUGGGAGGAGUCUUUUGGUGGUGAUUAUCGACGAUGAAUCUCGCCGGAGUCAUCGGAAGGAGGUUAAAAUCGUCGGAUGCCCCCGUGGGUUUGUGGCUUCAAUUUGUGAAUUUGGGUAAGCAAUUUGGAAAUCUAAUGCUACAAAGAUGUAGGUCUCGUCAAGGGCUUUCUAUGGACACCAAGAUCACCCAAAAUGGAGUUCGUACGAAGGAGAUAUGAGCAGGUCAAGUUGGCGGGUCGGAUGGAGAAACCGAGUUUGGCCAGUUCUCUCCUUCUCCCUUCCCUCCUUUCCCUCAUUUCUCUCUUCUCUGAUUGGUCAGCCUCUCAUCUCUCCCUUUUCUAAUUAGUUUGGUUCCUCCAUGCUUUCUCUCCUUUAUACUCCAUCUCCACCGCCUAUCCUUUCUGCCUUUAAAUCUGGGCCGCACACGUGGCUUUCCAAAUUAAGCUAAAAAAAUCUGGAGCUUUCUAGAAAUAAUUAAUAUAUUAAAAUGCCCCCAACUUUAAACGUUAAUAUCUCCUUCAUUAUAACUCCAAAUUAUGUUCCGUUUGACCCACGCUUUCGUAGCGAUGAGUACUACGAGGAUAUGCCAAGAAAACAAGUCUGACGUGAAAUGACAAGGCAAUCAACAAGAUUCAACGUCUUUACCUUGAAGGGCAUUUUCGUAAAUUCACUUAUUAAAAUUAUAUAAACCGUAAAAAUUGGGACCGGGUUGUUAUAUUAGGUUGUCUAUUUUUUUUUUUAACAUUAGAUGUGCUCAUAUUCAGAGCCAUUGGAUUAAAUAUAGCAACAAAAAUAAUGAAUCUUGACCAUUGGAUUAACCAAUGAUCCAUUGAUUUUAGUCAUUUGAUGUAGAAAAGAGUCGUUGGGCUCCAGUUGUCCUGCUGACAAGCUACCAGUAGUUAGGACCAAGGCUCUAAAAGGCGUUAGGCGCUAGUCAGGUGACGGGUAGGGGCCUAGCUCCUAGGCCAUGGCUCUAAAAGGUUGUUUUUCUAACUUUAAUUAAAUUUAUUAUAUAACACAUAAUAAAAGUCUACUUAUACUUGAAAAAAAAAUGUAAUUGCAUUGGGAUACAUAAAUUACAAAAUAAAUGUAAAAUGUAAAUUAUCUGUUUUCGGUCUAAGUGGGAAUCACGACCGAGGCGGGUGCCUAGGUGGGUUAGGCAUGCACCAUUCCUUAAAUUUGAACUGCAUAGGAAUUAAUCGGGGCAGUGUCAAACCACCUAGCACCUAGGUGGGGGCCUAGGUGGCUUUAGGCAAGGAUUUUUUAGAACAAUGGUUAGGACCCGACGCUGUAGCAUUAUCGCAUGUAACAAUAAACCGCGUAAAGAAAGCGUGGCUUCUUUUUUUUUCCUAGCACGUCCACGUACAAGGUGGGCCUGAGCAAGAUAAGUUGGCCUUAAUUCUUGGGUGGAAUUUGGCUCCAACACUAUUCUUCCCCCGCCCCCCAAGGUUAAUUUGGCACAAUGGUUGCAAAAUGCUUGGGUGGUUUAAAGCUUAAAAUUUAAGCUUUAACCCAUGGGUUGCACAUGGUCUUAGGGCUUUCACACAUGUUUUGAGAGUUGAAUUCCACAUCAAAAAAAAAAAAAAAAAGAGAUCUUACAUGUGCUUUUAAGUAAUUGGGUUACUUUCCCCAUAUUAACAAUUGAUUUUAAGGAAAACUAAAGAAAAAUCCUAAAAAACUUUAGUUUUAAUGAAAAUGACGAAAUAAAGGCGUAAAUGAAUAGUACCAGGAGUGACUUUUCAAGUUAAAAAUGUCAUUUUCGUUAAAAGUGAACAGUACCGAGAGUGUUUGAUGCGGUAAAAACUAACACACAAAUUAAACCCUAUAAAUUAUGCAAUCGUAGUACGGCUAAGUAGGGAUCGUUCUAGGCCGGGGAUUAAGAGGGAUGCUAAUUGUUGAUGCACAAAAUCAGUGAGGACUUUGGUACAACAGAAAGUGUUAAGUUUGUGACCUUCGCUAGAUUGCUUCGGUCACUAGUGUGGAUAAGUAUAUAAAUGGAUGGAGAUAGGGAAGCAAACACAAGAUGUACGUGGUUCACCCAGAUUGGCUACAUCCACGGAGUAGAGGAGUUCUCAUUAAUUGUGAAGGGUUUACACAAGUACAUAGGUUAAAGCUCUCCUUAGUGAGUAUAAGUGAAUGAUUUAGUACAAAUGACAUUAGGAAAUAUUGUGAGAGAAUGAUCUCUAUUUAUAGAAGAGAGUUCCUAGUUUCAUUCUGACAUUGACAUGUGUUGCGCUGUGAUUGGCUUCUGAUGUUGACACGUGUCGCGCUAUGAUUGGCUUCUGAUGUCGACACGUGUUGCGCUGUGAUUGGCCUUCUGGUUGGAGGGAAACUCUUCUGGGUCCUUGACGGUAUAACGUUGAUCAGUGCUCAGUAGUUUCGAGAUUGGUCAAGUAUGGUACAAACAGUGCUCCCCUAAGUUCUCGAGUGAGGGAAGCUCCUCGGUUUGGGACUUGCAAGAUCCAAGCCGCUGAGUAAUCACGAAACUUCUUAAGUACUGAAAUGUGGUAUCGUCUUCACGUGCCUUAUCUGUCUCAUAGGUAGAUGUGGCAUCUUCUCUGGAAGUAAUUUUCCUCUAUCUUUAACCGGUUGAGAUGCACAAGGUAAUGUAUCAAUUUCACUUGAAGCUUACUUGUAGUUUUGGGCUUGGUCAAGUGCGAUACAAACCCUAUAGUACUGUUGGAAAUGUGCCCUAAAACCAAUCAUGUGAUGAUGCUUUACGGACAUUUCACAUGUUAAACUAAUCUAGUUU
RNAcentral lists this long non-coding RNA (6748 nucleotides) under Malus domestica (apple). RNAcentral's name for it is "long non-coding RNA (MDOM_LNC016855)". Lineage: Eukaryota; Viridiplantae; Streptophyta; Magnoliopsida; Rosales; Rosaceae. The record is from RNAcentral.